GGGUCAGUAGGUUGGUCGUGCCACCGGUACGUACUGGCCUCACUGAUUCCUCCUUCCUGAAGAACCGUAAUGCCAUUAAUUUGGUGUUGCGGGGAAACAGGACUGUUACUUUGAAAAAAUUAGAGUGUUUAAAGCAAGCUAACGCUUGAAUACAUUAGCAUGGAAUAAUAAAAUAGGACGAUCGAUCCUAUUUUGUUGGUUUCUAGGAUUGACGUA
This 216-nucleotide ribosomal RNA is filed under the name Glomeromycotina sp. Its description in RNAcentral is "partial small subunit ribosomal RNA". The stretch from base 40 to 216 matches the Rfam family "Eukaryotic small subunit ribosomal RNA", at positions 686 to 864 of the family's 1831-position model. The record is from RNAcentral. Lineage: Eukaryota; Fungi; Glomeromycota.